Molecule: long non-coding RNA, 639 nt
Filed under: Homo sapiens (human)
Lineage: Eukaryota; Metazoa; Chordata; Mammalia; Primates; Hominidae
Description: HSALNT0373156
Source: RNAcentral
UCAGAAUUUGGAAGGGAUUGUUCCUGUGUGUUCUAGGUUCCAAGGUUGCUGUUGAGACAUCUGAUAUCAUUCUGACUUAUGGUCCCUCUCACAUCAUUUUUGGUUUCUCUCUGAAAAUUUUUAGAAUUUUUUUUAAUGCCAGGUGUUCUGAAAAUUGUUGGUGAUUUGUCCUAGUGAAUUCCAUGAGGCCAAGGGCCGUGUUUGCUUUAUUAACUUCUAAACACCAUAUCCAACAUUUCAGAAAUGUUUGUUGAAUAAAUUAAUGAAGAAUGACAUGGAAAGGAAAGGUGGAAAUGUACUAUAAGCAUAAAGGAAUGGCAUGUGUGAAAGAUCAGGUGGGAGAAAUAAAGUGCUCCUCUCUCCAUCCUGCAUAGCAGCACCACAUGACUCUUCAUAAGGCUACAGUUCUCUCCCUUCAUUCUCCUGCUCCCUGUGCAUCUGAAGUUACUCAUUGCUGCUAGAAAAAUGUCCAAACUUUGGCUCAAUCCAUCUUCCAAGCCUCAGAGCAACAACAGUCAUUGAAACAGAUGCCAGUUGAAAUUGAUUGUGCUACUUACCUUCAGUUUCCUAAGCUGGAAAUACAGUAUUUCCUCAACUUUUGUAAGAUAUGAUGCUGCUGCUGAGACAAUGUUUGAGACU